Long non-coding RNA from Temnothorax curvispinosus, 413 nucleotides. RefSeq lists it as uncharacterized. The transcript has 3 exons. NCBI's taxonomy places the organism in Eukaryota, Metazoa, Arthropoda, Insecta, Hymenoptera, Formicidae. The record is from RefSeq and is a predicted model, not a curated record.
UUCGCAUCGAGGGUACACGAUGGACAUCUCGAGCAGCCUGAGAGGAGGUGGAGGCCUAGGAGAGGCAUCGGGCAUCGGCGUACUUAACACUUCUGAAAAUAUCCACGCAGGAAGGAGUAUCUUCGCAUCGAGGAAACAGUAACUGACAUCCCGAGCAGCCUGAGAGGAGGUGGAGGCCUAGGAGGAGGCAUCAGGCGCCGGCGGAGCAACAAGCGAAUCAUCGUAGCGACGUUGCAGAAUAACUCCGCUGUUGCGCAUCGGUCGGUGAGUGAUGAUUAAAAUUUCAUAAUUGAGGUAAUGAAUUUAUGACAAUUACGUCAAAUAUAUUGCGGUGUCAAGUUAUCACAAUAAAUUAUUACAUAUAUUACGUUUCAUAGAUUCGUUGUCUUAAAAUGGUAUGACUGGGUCAGAUU